Non-coding RNA from Poecilia reticulata (guppy), 217 nucleotides. The record is from RefSeq and is a predicted model, not a curated record. Lineage: Eukaryota; Metazoa; Chordata; Actinopteri; Cyprinodontiformes; Poeciliidae.
AGUCUAUUCAGAAGAAAAGACCCAGAAGCACCUCUCCAGCUGACAGUUUUAGUGGAUGGAAACUGCAAGUAUUACCAUUUAAAGAAUGCAGCAAGAUUGGACGAACAGGCUAUAUUUCAGGACCUUUUCAUAGCCAAGGAUGAAAACGUAGGAAAAUUUGUGGACUGUAUACACAAAUCAACCGAAAAUAUUUUGUGGUGGGCAAUGGUCAGCAGCC